Molecule: transfer RNA, 72 nt
Filed under: Camelus bactrianus (Bactrian camel)
Lineage: Eukaryota; Metazoa; Chordata; Mammalia; Artiodactyla; Camelidae
Also listed under: 3 other names
Rfam family: tRNA
About the family: Transfer RNA (tRNA) molecules are approximately 80 nucleotides in length. Their secondary structure includes four short double-helical elements and three loops (D, anti-codon, and T loops).
Source: Rfam by way of RNAcentral
GAGGGUACAGCUUAGUGGUAGAGCAUGUGCUUAGCAUGCAUGAGAUCCUAGGUUCAAUUCCCAGUGCCUCCA